AAGUCGAGCGGAUGAAAGGAGCUUGCUCCUGGAUUCAGCGGCGGACGGGUGAGUAAUGCCUAGGAAUCUGCCUGGUAGUGGGGGACAACGUUUCGAAAGGAACGCUAAUACCGCAUACGUCCUACGGGAGAAAGCAGGGGACCUUCGGGCCUUGCGCUAUCAGAUGAGCCUAGGUCGGAUUAGCUAGUUGGUGAGGUAAUGGCUCACCAAGGCGACGAUCCGUAACUGGUCUGAGAGGAUGAUCAGUCCCACUGGAACUGAGACACGGUCCAGACUCCUACGGGAGGCAGCAGUGAGGAAUAUUGGUCAAUGGGCGCAAGCCUGAACCAGCCAUGCCGCGUGCAGGAUGACGCAUCUAUGGUGUGUAAACUGCUUUUGUACGGGAAGAAACCCUGCCACGUGUGGCAGAUUGACGGUACCGUAAGAAUAAGGAUCGGCUAACUCCGUGCCAGCAGCCGCGGUAAUACGGAGGAUCCAAGCGUUAUCCGGAAUCAUUGGGUUUAAAGGGUCCGUACGCGGUUUUAUAAGUCAGUGGUGAAAUCCGGCAGCUCAACUGUCGAACUGCCAUUGAUACUGUAGGACUUGAAUUAUUGUGAAGUAACUAGAAUAUGUAGU
RNAcentral lists this ribosomal RNA (615 nucleotides) under uncultured bacterium. RNAcentral's name for it is "bacterial SSU rRNA". It matches the Rfam family "Bacterial small subunit ribosomal RNA", at positions 59 to 674 of the family's 1533-position model. The record is from RNAcentral.